Amphiprion ocellaris (clown anemonefish) is the source of this 350-nucleotide long non-coding RNA. Lineage: Eukaryota; Metazoa; Chordata; Actinopteri; Pomacentridae. The record is from Ensembl.
CACAUUGCACACAGUAGACUUUGCUGCUUUCCUCAUGUGUUUGUUUGUUUGUUUGUGUCAGAUGCUGAGAGACCCAGCGGUGGACGUCCAGAGAACAGAGAUGCUGAGAGACCAAGCGGUGGACGUCCAGAGAACAGAGAUGCUCAGAGACCAAGCGGUGGACGUCCAGAGAGCAGAGAUGCUGAGAGACCAAGCGGUGGACGUCCAGAGAGCAGAGGUGAGUUGCACAUUGUCAUCCAUUGCACACAGUAGACUUUGCUGCUUUCCUCAUGUGUUUGUUUGUUUGUUUGUUUGUUUGUUUGUGUCAGAUGCUGAGAGACCCAGCGGUGGACGUCCAGAGAGCAGAGGUG